Molecule: ribosomal RNA, 1423 nt
Filed under: metagenome
Description: bacterial SSU rRNA
Rfam family: Bacterial small subunit ribosomal RNA
Source: RNAcentral
AGAGUUUGAUCCUGGCUCAGGACGAACGCUGGCGGCGUGCUUAACACAUGCAAGUCGAACGAUGAUGAGACUGCUUGCAGUUUUUGAUUAGUGGCGAACGGGUGAGUAACACGUGAGUAACCUGCCCUUCACUCUGGGAUAAGCCUUGGAAACGGGGUCUAAUACUGGAUAUUACUUGAGCCUGCAUGGGUUUGGGUGGAAAGCUUUUGUGGUGGAGGAUGGACUCGCGGCCUAUCAGCUUGUUGGUGAGGUAGUGGCUUACCAAGGCGACGACGGGUAGCCGGCCUGAGAGGGUGACCGGCCACACUGGGACUGAGACACGGCCCAGACUCCUACGGGAGGCAGCAGUGGGGAAUAUUGCACAAUGGGCGAAAGCCUGAUGCAGCGACGCCGCGUGAGGGAUGAAGGCCUUCGGGUUGUAAACCUCUCUCAUCAGGGAAGAAGCGUGAGUGACGGUACCUGAAGAAGAAGCACCGGCUAACUACGUGCCAGCAGCCGCGGUAAUACGUAGGGUGCGAGCGUUGUCCGGAAUUAUUGGGCGUAAAGAGCUUGUAGGCGGUUUGUGCGUCUGCUGUGAAAUUCUGGGGCUUAACUCCGGACGUGCAGUGGGUAUGGGCAGACUAGAGUGUGGUAGGGGAGACUGGAAUUCCUGGUGUAGCGGUGAAAUGCGCAGAUAUCAGGAGGAACACCGAUGGCGAGGGCAGGUCUCUGGGCCAUAACUGACGCUGAGAAGCGAAAGCAUGGGUAGCGAACAGGAUUAGAUACCCUGGUAGUCCAUGCCGUAAACGUUGGGCGCUAGGUGUGGGGCUCAUUCCACGAGUUCUGUGCCGCAGCUAACGCAUUAAGCGCCCCGCCUGGGGAGUACGGCCGCAAGGCUAAAACUCAAAGGAAUUGACGGGGGCCCGCACAAGCGGCGGAGCAUGCGGAUUAAUUCGAUGCAACGCGAAGAACCUUACCAAGGCUUGACAUACACCGGAAACGGCCAGAGAUGGUUGCCCCGUAAGGCUGGUGUACAGGUGGUGCAUGGUUGUCGUCAGCUCGUGUCGUGAGAUGUUGGGUUAAGUCCCGCAACGAGCGCAACCCUCGUUCCAUGUUGCCAGCACGUGAUGGUGGGGACUCAUGGGAGACUGCCGGGGUCAACUCGGAGGAAGGUGGGGAUGACGUCAAAUCAUCAUGCCCCUUAUGUCUUGGGCUUCACGCAUGCUACAAUGGCCAGUACAAAGGGCUGCGAAACUGUGAGGUGGAGCGAAUCCCAAAAAACUGGUCUCAGUUCGGAUUGGGGUCUGCAACUCGACCCCAUGAAGUCGGAGUCGCUAGUAAUCGCAGAUCAGCAACGCUGCGGUGAAUACGUUCCCGGGCCUUGUACACACCGCCCGUCAAGUCACGAAAGUCGGUAACACCCGAAGCCGGUGGCCUAACCCUC